AAGAAGAUGGUCCAGGAGAAGCUCAUUCCAUGCUUGUUAACCAGGCACGCCCCUAAGUUCCAGUCCCUGAGUCAUUCAUGAGUAGCACUGCCAAUGAACUGACAGCCAUGCUGUGUCCCUCCACAUCCCCUAGGUGACUCGAAGAAGCCUUCCAAAAAGCAUGUGAAAAGGAAGCCCUACUCUACUACCAAGGUGACUUCAGGGAGCACAUUCAAUGAGAAUACAAGAAGAUAUGCUGUGCACACCAACCAGUGUAGGAGACCUCAUGGCUCCCGGGUAAAGAAGAAGAGGUACCCACAAGAAGAUGACUUCCAUCAUACAGUCUUCAGCAACCUUGAAAGAUUGGACAAGCUUCAGCCCACUCUUGAAGCCUCUGAGGAGUCUCUAGUUCACAAGGACAGAGGAGAUGGAGAGAGGCCAGUCAACGCGAGGGUGGUGCAGGUGGCCCCUCUGAGGCUUGAAUCUA
Long non-coding RNA from Homo sapiens (human), 466 nucleotides. Ensembl annotates it as family with sequence similarity 230 member B. Its record names the gene FAM230B. NCBI's taxonomy places the organism in Eukaryota, Metazoa, Chordata, Mammalia, Primates, Hominidae. The record is from Ensembl.